This 559-nucleotide ribosomal RNA is filed under the name uncultured eubacterium SW7. RNAcentral's name for it is "bacterial SSU rRNA". It matches the Rfam family "Bacterial small subunit ribosomal RNA", at positions 338 to 916 of the family's 1533-position model. The record is from RNAcentral.
CCUACGGGAGGCAGCAGUGGGGAAUAUUGGACAAUGGAGGAAACUCUGAUCCAGCAAUGCCGCGUGUGUGAUGAAGGCCCUAGGGUUGUAAAGCACUUUCAUUGGUGAAGAUGAUGACGGUAACCAAAGAAGAAGCCCCGGCUAACUUCGUGCCAGCAGCCGCGGUAAUACGAAGGGGGCGAGCGUUGUUCGGAAUUACUGGGCGUAAAGGGAGCGCAGGCGGUUCAUUUAGUUAGGCGUGAAAGCCCCGGGCUCAACCUGGGAACUGCGCUUAAUACUGAUGAGCUAGAAUACAGAAGAGGAUAGUGGAAUUCCCAGUGUAGAGGUGAAAUUCGUAGAUAUUGGGAAGAACACCGGUGGCGAAAGCGGCUAUCUGGUCUGUAAUUGACGCUGAGGCUCGAAAGCGUGGGGAGCAAACAGGAUUAGAUACCCUGGUAGUCCACGCCGUAAACGAUGAUAACUAGAUGUCGGGGGGUUGCCUCUCGGUGUCGCAGCUAACGCAUUAAGUUAUCCGCCUGGGAAGUACGGUCGCAAGAUUAAAACUCAAAGGAAUUGACGG